GCGAACGCUGGCGGCAGGCCUAACACAUGCAAGUCGAACGGACCCUUCGGGGUUAGUGGCGGACGGGUGAGUAACACGUGGGAACGUGCCUUUAGGUUCGGAAUAGCUCCUGGAAACGGGUGGUAAUGCCGAAUGUGCCCUUCGGGGGAAAGAUUUAUCGCCUUUAGAGCGGCCCGCGUCUGAUUAGCUAGUUGGUGAGGUAACGGCUCACCAAGGCGACGAUCAGUAGCUGGUCUGAGAGGAUGACCAGCCACACUGGGACUGAGACACGGCCCAGACUCCUACGGGAGGCAGCAGUGGGGAAUCUUGCGCAAUGGGCGAAAGCCUGACGCAGCCAUGCCGCGUGAAUGAUGAAGGUCUUAGGAUUGUAAAAUUCUUUCACCGGGGACGAUAAUGACGGUACCCGGAGAAGAAGCCCCGGCUAACUUCGUG
This 432-nucleotide ribosomal RNA is filed under the name uncultured bacterium. Its description in RNAcentral is "partial 16S ribosomal RNA". It matches the Rfam family "Bacterial small subunit ribosomal RNA", at positions 29 to 507 of the family's 1533-position model. The record is from RNAcentral.